ACUGGACUUUCCCACUUGCCUGGCAGGAGUGAGACAGAUCACUGUGUGCAAAAUGAGCAUUUGAGAGAAAAUUUGGAAUUCAUUAAUAUAAAAAGAAAUAGGAAGGAGUGAGGUAUGAAGUACACAAUAAGCAGAGUGAAGUAGAGUGCCAUUUAUCAAACACCGGCCAGGUCUGUAAUCUUCUGUUUUAUCCUUUCUUUGUACUUUAUUUGCCUUUAUUGUUGCAAAGAGGGAUAUUCACCCAGAGCAGUGGGCAUGAAGCCCUGAUAAACCUCCUCUUUCCCGUCUUUCCCUCCACUUACUCCUUCUUGUCAGCCUUGUCAGUAUAAUUUGUUUAUUUCCUUCUAG
RNAcentral lists this long non-coding RNA (348 nucleotides) under Bos indicus x Bos taurus (hybrid cattle). RNAcentral's name for it is "lncRNA (ENSBIXG00005030594.1)". Lineage: Eukaryota; Metazoa; Chordata; Mammalia; Artiodactyla; Bovidae. The record is from RNAcentral.